RNAcentral lists this ribosomal RNA (350 nucleotides) under uncultured bacterium. Its description in RNAcentral is "bacterial SSU rRNA". It matches the Rfam family "Bacterial small subunit ribosomal RNA", at positions 355 to 702 of the family's 1533-position model. The record is from RNAcentral.
UGAGGAAUAUUGGACAAUGGAGGCAACUCUGAUCCAGCCAUGCCGCGUGCAGGAAGACUGCCCUAUGGGUUGUAAACUGCUUUUAUACAGGAAGAAACCUACUUACGUGUAAGUAGCUGACGGUACUGUACGAAUAAGGAUCGGCUAACUCCGUGCCAGCAGCCGCGGUAAUACGGAGGAUCCAAGCGUUAUCCGGAAUUAUUGGGUUUAAAGGGUCCGUAGGUGGUUUGCUAAGUCAGAGGUGAAAUCCUACCGCUUAACGGUAGCACUGCCUUUGAUACUGGCAAACUUGAGUUAUUGUGAAGUAGUUAGAAUGUGUAGUGUAGCGGUGAAAUGCAUAGAUAUUACAC